RNAcentral lists this transfer RNA (72 nucleotides) under Hypancistrus zebra. RNAcentral describes it as "tRNA-Gly". It matches the Rfam family "tRNA". Rfam says of the family: Transfer RNA (tRNA) molecules are approximately 80 nucleotides in length. Their secondary structure includes four short double-helical elements and three loops (D, anti-codon, and T loops). Lineage: Eukaryota; Metazoa; Chordata; Actinopteri; Siluriformes; Loricariidae. The record is from RNAcentral.
AUCUUUCUAGUAUUAACAUUAGUACGAAUGACUUCCAAUCAUAUGGUCUUGGUUAAAAUCCAAGGAAAGAUA